UGCGUAGGUGGUUUCUUAAGUCAGGAGUGAAAGGCUACGGUUCAACCGUAGUAAGCUCUUGAAACUGGGAAACUUGAGUGCAGGAGAGGAAAGUGGAAUUCCUAAUGUAGCGGUGAAAUGCGUAGAUAUUAGGAGGAACACCAGUAGCGAAGGCGGCUUUCUGGACUGUAACUGACACUGAGGCACGAAAGCGUGGGGAGCAAACA
RNAcentral lists this ribosomal RNA (206 nucleotides) under uncultured bacterium. Its description in RNAcentral is "partial 16S ribosomal RNA". It matches the Rfam family "Bacterial small subunit ribosomal RNA", at positions 568 to 774 of the family's 1533-position model. The record is from RNAcentral.